Pteropus alecto (black flying fox) is the source of this 2604-nucleotide long non-coding RNA. RefSeq lists it as uncharacterized. The transcript has 4 exons. Lineage: Eukaryota; Metazoa; Chordata; Mammalia; Chiroptera; Pteropodidae. The record is from RefSeq and is a predicted model, not a curated record.
AGUUUGGAGAAGCCCUCUUUUAGGGUGUGAGUGCAGCAGCGAGGGCUCGGAGCAAGGGGGCAACGCUUGGCCUCAGGAGCAGGCCCUGCCUGGGCUCAGCAGCCUCUACAUUGAACCACUUGGCCCAGUAGGAAAACUGGUCCCACUAGGAGAAGCAGAGGAUAAGCUGCAACCAUGAACACAAGUGUGCCCUGGGAACCACUGAUGGGGGCAGAGGCAUCCUCAACCCUUCCUAGGAAUGGGGAGUGGGGAGAGGCCUCCCUGGGUGAGUCAUUUCCUUCUUUAUCUCAAAAUCAACAAUCAGAAGAUACGUGACAUUCCUGACAAGAGGUCUCUUCAAAUUCCCAUUUCCUCUUUUCUCCCCCAUCAGCAAAGAGAAUAUGGAAGCUGAAGUCCUGCCCCCGCACCCUGACCCCAAGUAUCACCUUGAAAGCUACCUGAAAGCAGUCUAGAAGGAGCCAUGAGCCCCAGCUAUACGCAGCAAGCAGUGCCUGCGCCCUAUGGCUGUGGCCAGGACCCCUUCAACAGCUGCAGGAGCCUCCCAGCUCAGUGGCCAGUCUCAGAUCAGGCGUGCUAAUUUUACAAGGAAGAAGUGGCCUCAGCCUCCUCUGAAUACCAAGGAGAGGCCCAGCUCUGUUUGAGGCCUCAGGAAAAACUGCUGCUGCCCUUUCCCUCUCCCUAUGGCCUGGAGGGGCGUGGACCCUCAGACUCCUGCUGCCCAAGGCUGAUUUGAAGGGCUGGGUCCCAACCUGACCCCUGGUCCGCAGAGCAAGCAGGGUGUGGGCCAGGCUCAGCGCAAUAAACAGGCAGAUCUGCCUCCUGGAUGGUGGAGAACACGAGGAUUGGGUGAGCAAGGACCAUUUUAUAGAGGGAUUUCAGACUGCAGAAGGUAUGCGAUGCGUCACUGGGAGAUUUCAGGAGCCAAGUCUUGACUUAGAGGCAGGAGAGUGGAGUGCUUGAAUGAGCCAACUGUUCCACCAGAGACCUAGGUUCAAAUCCCAGUUCUGCCAUUUACUAAUUCUGUGACCUUUGGCAAGUGACUUAAACUCUUUGGACCUCAGUUUAAUCAUCUAUAAAAUGCGGACGAGAAGAGUCCCUGCCUCCUAGAGCUGCUGGGAAGACAAAAUGACCCGGCAGGUCUUCGGCAAAGGGUAACUACAAGCUCCCUCAAAGACGGAGGAGGCCAGAGACUGGACGUCCCAGGACCUGACUAUCCCCGCUCUCCCAAAUCAUAAAGAUAGUAAUCUUGGCUGACCACGGGGCUGUAGGAGAACGUGGAUGUUAAAAUGAUUGGAGAAGUGGGAAAUGCCAUUCCAAUGUGAACAGCAUUGUCAGAAAUGUUGCUUUAAUAGUAAUAGGCCUACUGAUACUAGUGGUAAUUAAUGUAUCUAACAAACAGUAAUAGUAAUUAUUAUUACUCUUACCAUUCAUUAAGUACUUAGCAUAUGCAGGUAGUUUGCUAAGCAUGACAUCAUGCACUACAUCAUUUAUGUCUCACAACGACUGCGUAAUGAAGGUAGUAUUACACUGGCAUACAGAUGGGGAAACUGAGGCUCACGGAAGCUAUGAGUGUCGCCAACAAUCACACAGCUAAGUAGGUGGGGGCGUCAGGACUUGACUCACAUGUGUCUGAUUCUUCAGUCGCUUUUCUGGACCUCCUUAUUCUCCUGUUUCCCCAGCGGCACUAGGUGCAGCCAGCUGCAGAGGAACCCCAAGAGAACCAAGGGACCGGUCCCAUACUGCAGCAGUGAAGGGGCGAUGGCAACCUUGGGAUCUGAAAGUGGCCCUGUCUGUCCGAUUUCACUCAGCCUGAGCCAACCCACGGAACAGAUGGAAGCAUCGAGGAAACGGGAUGGAGCGUGUCAGUGGGACCACAGAGCCAGCAAACAUUUAUUGAGCGUCUACUAUGCUAGACCCAGAAGAUACGAUAGUGAGUAGAAACAGACAGACCCUGCUCACAUGGAGAGAGACACCCAGAGUGUCGCGAGCAGAUGGAUGCAAAUCACCAGAAUGGAGGCGGACGAGGGGCACAGGGCACGCUGGACUUUCCUGUACUAAUUUUUGCAACUUCUCGUGAGUAUAUAAUUUCUUCAAAAUAAUAAUUACAUUAACAAGAAAGAAGAGGAGGAAGAGGAGGAAGCGGGGAAAGCAGAGACAAAGGAGAAAAAGGCGGUGGCCAGAGGGUCUGGGACACGGGGAGUGAUGAGGCGGGUGGCACGGGAUGAGCCUGGAAAGCCGGUGGGGUCAAACGAGGGUAGAGUCUUCCUCUCUCUGGACCUCAGUUUCUCCAGCUAUCGGAUGGGAAUAACAUCGGCUCCCCCAAGAGAAAUGUACUUCUUUUUUAAAAACAUGAAUCUUUCCCUCCCUUCCAUUGCCCACCCCGUGCAGCCACGAGGGCCCUAGAUGACGUGCGUCAGCCGGUCAUCACACAGAAGUCUAACUGCGCCUGAGGUUGCUGGGAAAGGGGACAAGGGCUCUUUAAGGGACUAGGUGCAAGGGCAGCAAGGAGAGGCCGCGAGAAAGAGGUCUGAAACCCCCAGGUCAACGGGCCCCCUCAUCUUUUUAAAACUGCAAAACAUAAGCUCUAUUUGUUUGUACAUUCCC